This 153-nucleotide non-coding RNA is filed under the name Chlorocebus sabaeus (green monkey). Lineage: Eukaryota; Metazoa; Chordata; Mammalia; Primates; Cercopithecidae. The record is from Rfam by way of RNAcentral.
GCCGGGUGUGGUGGUGGGCACCUGAAGUCCCAGCUACUGGGGAGGCUGAGGCAGGAGAAUCACUUGAACCCAGGAGGCAGAGGUUGCAGUGCAGUGAGCCAAGAUGUCACCACUGCACCCCAGCCUGGGUGACAGAGUGAGACCCUGUCUCAA